This 664-nucleotide ribosomal RNA is filed under the name Klebsiella pneumoniae. Its description in RNAcentral is "partial 23S ribosomal RNA". It matches the Rfam family "Bacterial large subunit ribosomal RNA", at positions 317 to 986 of the family's 2925-position model. Lineage: Bacteria; Pseudomonadati; Pseudomonadota; Gammaproteobacteria; Enterobacterales; Enterobacteriaceae. The record is from RNAcentral.
UCAGCUUGUGUGUUAGUGGAACGGUCUGGAAAGUCCGACGGUACAGGGUGAUAGUCCCGUACACCAAAAUGCACAGGUUGUGAACUCGAAGAGUAGGGCGGGACACGUGGUAUCCUGUCUGAAUAUGGGGGGACCAUCCUCCAAGGCUAAAUACUCCUGACUGACCGAUAGUGAACCAGUACCGUGAGGGAAAGGCGAAAAGAACCCCGGCGAGGGGAGUGAAAAAGAACCUGAAACCGUGUACGUACAAGCAGUGGGAGCACCUUCGGGUGUGACUGCGUACCUUUUGUAUAAUGGGUCAGCGACUUAUAUUCUGUAGCAAGGUUAACCGUAUAGGGGAGCCGCAGGGAAACCGAGUCUUAACUGGGCGUUAAGUUGCAGGGUAUAGACCCGAAACCCGGUGAUCUAGCCAUGGGCAGGUUGAAGGUUGGGUAACACUAACUGGAGGACCGAACCGACUAAUGUUGAAAAAUUAGCGGAUGACUUGUGGCUGGGGGUGAAAGGCCAAUCAAACCGGGAGAUAGCUGGUUCUCCCCGAAAGCUAUUUAGGUAGCGCCUCGUGAACUCAUCUUCGGGGGUAGAGCACUGUUUCGGCUAGGGGGUCAUCCCGACUUACCAACCCGAUGCAAACUACGAAUACCGAAGAAUGUUAUCACGGGAGACA